AGGACUGGCGCGUGUAUUAGGCAUGCAGUCGAACGAGUGUUCAUUUGUAGCAAUACCGAUGGACAAGAGUGGCGAAAGGGCGCGUAACGCGUAGGUAAUCUGCCUCUAAGAUUGGGAUAACCCAGAGAAAUCUGGACUAAUACUGAAUGUGGUGGUUUGUCGCAUGACAGACUUACUAAAGGGUGGGGAUUCUUCGGAACCUGUCACUUGGAGGGGAACCUGCGUCCCAUCAGCUAGUUGGUAGGGUAAAGGCCUACCAAGGCUUACGGGUAGCUGGUCUGAGAGGAUGGUCAGCCGCACUGGGACUGAGACACUGCCCAGACUCCUACGGGAGGCUGCAGUCGAGGAUCUUUUGCAAUGGGCGCAAGCCUGACAAAGCGACGCUGCGUGGAGGAUGAAGGCCUUCGGGUUGUGAACUCCUGUCAUUCGGGAACAAUAUUUUGGCGUUAAUACCGUCAAAAGGUGAUGGUACCGGAAGAGGAAGCCACGGCUAACUCUGUGCCAGCAGCCGCGGUAAUACAGAGGUGGCGAGCGUUGUUCGGAUUUACUGGGCGUAAAGGGUGCGUAGGUGGUUUUGUGUGUCGGAUGUGAAAUCCUACUGCUUAACGGUAGAACUGCAUUCGAAACUGCAAGGCUUGAGUACAGGAGAGGGGAGCGGAAUUCUUGGUGUAGCGGUGAAAUGCGUUGAUAUCAAGAAGAACACCGGUGGCGAAGGCGGCUCCCUGGAAUGUUACUGACACUGAGGCACGAGAGCUAGGGGAGCAAACAGAAUUAGAUACUCUGGUAGUCCUAGCCGUAAACGGUGUACACUUGAUGUAGAGGGCGUUAUACCCCUCUGUGUCGGAGCUAACGUGUUAAGUGUACCGCCUGGGGAGUACGGUCGCAAGAUUAAAACUCAAAGAAAUUGACGGGGGCCCGCACAAGCGGAGGAGCAUGUGGCUUAAUUCGAUGCAACGCGAAGAACCUUACCAGGGCUUGACAUGUAACUGGAUGCCCCGGGAAACCGGGGAGGCUUUCGAGGCUGUUACACAGGUGCUGCAUGGCUGUCGUCAGUUCGUGCCGUGAGUGUUUGGUUAAGUCAGCACGACGCACCCCUGUGUCUAGUUGCACUACAGGCUCAAACCUGUAGCCCCUCUUAGACAGACUGCUCGUUUACACC
Molecule: ribosomal RNA, 1159 nt
Filed under: uncultured bacterium
Lineage: Bacteria
Description: bacterial SSU rRNA
Rfam family: Bacterial small subunit ribosomal RNA
Source: RNAcentral